AUGUUGCUGGCAUUACUCCUGUGUUAGAAGAUAAUUACUGGACUCAUUCCUGACAUGUAACAUUUAUUUUCUUCAGGGAGGUGGGUGGACAAGCACACAAUGCUCACUGCUGAACUACUGAAAUUGGGUGGAUCAGAAACAGAAUUGGAGCUAUUUUAUCUGGACCUAAUUAAACAACCUUCAUUACUGGCAGGCACAGAGUUUCUGCAGUGUUUUGUGUGGUGUAUUUGGGGUGAAUUCCAGUCAUGCAAAUGAGGCCAGCAUGAGGCAGAUGC
This 275-nucleotide long non-coding RNA is filed under the name Athene cunicularia (burrowing owl). Its description in RNAcentral is "lncRNA (ENSACUG00000007226.1)". The record is from RNAcentral. Lineage: Eukaryota; Metazoa; Chordata; Aves; Strigiformes; Strigidae.